This 74-nucleotide transfer RNA is filed under the name Acinetobacter phage vB_AbaM_Acibel004. It matches the Rfam family "tRNA". Rfam says of the family: Transfer RNA (tRNA) molecules are approximately 80 nucleotides in length. The record is from Rfam by way of RNAcentral. Lineage: Duplodnaviria; Heunggongvirae; Uroviricota; Caudoviricetes; Luriaviridae.
GCUCAGGUAAGAGAAUUGGCAUAUCGCACAGUCUUAGAAACUGUGAUUUGUGGGUUCGAGUCCCACCCUGAGUA